Egretta garzetta (little egret) is the source of this 164-nucleotide small nuclear RNA. RefSeq annotates it as U1 spliceosomal RNA. The transcript has a single exon. The record is from RefSeq and is a predicted model, not a curated record. NCBI's taxonomy places the organism in Eukaryota, Metazoa, Chordata, Aves, Pelecaniformes, Ardeidae.
UGGCCUUCUUUGCGGGUGGGACAUCAUCGCCAGGAAGGCGAUUUCCCCAGUGUGAGGCUCAACUCCUGCUCUCUGGGUGUGCUGGCUCUUCUGACUUCGUCAAAUAUAAGAAGCUCAGCUGCAUAAUCUGUGGUGAAGGGGGGUUGUGUUUAUUCUUUCUCCUA